CAGUCGCCACGGUAAUACGAAGGGGGCUAGCGUUGCUCGGAAUGACUGGGCGUAAAGGGCGCGUAGGCGGCGGCCAAAGUCAGGCGUGAAAUUCCUGGGCUCAACCUUGGGGCUGCGCUUGAUACUUGGUUGCUUGAGUGGGGAAGAGGGUUGUGGAAUUCCCAGUGUAGAGGUGAAAUUCGUAGAUAUUGGGAAGAACACCGGUGGCGAAGGCGGCGACCUGGUCCUUGACUGACGCUGAGGCGCGAAAGCGUGGGGAGCAAACAGGAUUAGAUACCCCCGUAGUCCCUGUCUCUUAUAC
RNAcentral lists this ribosomal RNA (301 nucleotides) under uncultured bacterium. RNAcentral describes it as "partial 16S ribosomal RNA". It matches the Rfam family "Bacterial small subunit ribosomal RNA", at positions 509 to 807 of the family's 1533-position model. The record is from RNAcentral.